GAGAAACCCAAAGACCAAAAAACAAACAAACAAACAAAAUUCUUUCAUCAUGUGAGCCCAGGAAGGCUGACUUCUGAGCCACACAGCACCCUGAGAAUGAAGCGCUCUGAUACCAUCUCAGAUACGAGCAGCUCUGUGUCGUUGUGGAGACGCAUAAAGUGGUCCAGGUCCUUGAAAACAUGGUACUUGGAAGUCAUCUGAUUUCUGGAUUAAAUUGUAAGGAACCCAUGUUUUGCUGUAAAUGUGAUGUGGAAGAAAAAAAUUCAAAGGUAUCUUGCGGCUCAACUGAAACCAAACACAUCAACUAUGGAGAUAAUUCACCUCUUAAAACAGUGUCUUGACUCUGGCCCUUUCCAAGCCGUCUUCUGAGAAGAAAGGAAGUUUGCUUGUUCUCUGGGUUGCAGCCUCCGUCGCCAAGUCCAAACACAAGAAGAAAUGACUGGGAAUCAGACCAUGGGGAUACCACACUGCAUGUUGCAGACGUGUGGCCUGGAGGCAGUUUGGGACUCACUCUUCAACACCAGUCAGGUCUUCUCCGAGUGUCCACUUCCCACAGGGUUGGUGUAUGGCCGUGCCCAAGGGGAGACAGAAGUUUGCUUUAAUAAGAAGAUGAGUCAAGUACCUUUGCUUUUCCCCAUCCUUUUCUAUGGCUUGUAGAACAUCUGGGAAUUUUUAAAACUCCCUACCAUAGCACAAAUAGAGCCUUAAAUAUAAUAAUGUCAUCAAGUCCUUGUGAUUAUAUGAGAUAGAGGUAAUUAUGAAGAAAGUAACUGUCAAGUUCACGAGGCCGUCCCCGUAAUGAUGGCUUUUAAGGUCUUGAGUACAGUGCUUUUCAGUGUAAAGAUAACACCUGAUUACUCAGUCUUCUACGGCCAGCAGCAGUAACUUAUACGUGUGAAACUGAGCACAGGGCUUCCUGAAGAGAGCAUUUCAUUAUUAUUUUUGGCCAUUUCAAGGA
This is a long non-coding RNA of Bos taurus (domestic cattle), 958 nucleotides long. The record is from Ensembl. Lineage: Eukaryota; Metazoa; Chordata; Mammalia; Artiodactyla; Bovidae.